Molecule: non-coding RNA, 21 nt
Filed under: Aedes albopictus (Asian tiger mosquito)
Lineage: Eukaryota; Metazoa; Arthropoda; Insecta; Diptera; Culicidae
Source: RNAcentral
UAGCGAAUUGGGAGUCGUGAG